GGUCGAAAGAGGAAAUUCAUUCGCGUUUCGGCUGUCGAAGUGGAGCGUUCGUAUGACGGAUAACGUUUAGGCGUCGUCCGCGUCUUACGUUCUUCGAAGCGAUGUCGAACGCGUGCACUUUUCCUCUAGUAGGACGUCGCGAUCCGUUGGGUGUCUGUUUAAGGUUCGAGGUGGAGCCCGCUCGAAGAUUAUAUCUAUCGAACGGACCCUCGUUUUCCCGACAGACUCGCUCGACGGUAUACAAAUGGCGCGAGGCCGCUACUUUUGAGUUAGCGUUCGGCCCGUAGCAAGCACGUUUCGCGUUUGACGGCCAUCGGACCUGGUGCCGAUUCUGUCCCGGAACGACUGUUGGUUACGGUGUUCUCGAACAGACCUCG
This 377-nucleotide ribosomal RNA is filed under the name Luperomorpha hainana. RNAcentral describes it as "eukaryotic LSU rRNA". The record is from RNAcentral. Lineage: Eukaryota; Metazoa; Arthropoda; Insecta; Coleoptera; Chrysomelidae.